AGUGAACGCUGGCGGUAGGCCUAACACAUGCAAGUCGAACGGCAGCACAGUAAUAGCUUGCUCUUACGGGUGGCGAGUGGCGGACGGGUGAUGAAUACAUCGGAAUCUACUUUUUCGUGGGGGAUAACGUAGGGAAACUUACGCUAAUACCGCAUACGACCUACGGGUGAAAGCAUGGGAUCUUCGGACCUUGCGCGAGUGAAUGAGCCGAUGUCGGAUUAGCUAGUUGGCGGGGUAAAGGCCCACCAAGGCGACGAUCCGUAGCUGGUCUGAGAGGAUGAUCAGCCACACUGGAACUGAGACACGGUCCAGACUCCUACGGGAGGCAGCAGUGGGGAAUAUUGGACAAUGGGCGCAAGCCUGAUCCAGCCAUACCGCGUGGGUGAAGAAGGCCUUCGGGUUGUAAAGCCCUUUUGUUGGGAAAGAAAAGCAGCAGGUUAAUACCCCGCUGUUCUGACGGUACCCAAAGAAUAAGCACCGGCUAACUUCGUG
RNAcentral lists this ribosomal RNA (492 nucleotides) under uncultured bacterium. RNAcentral describes it as "partial 16S ribosomal RNA". It matches the Rfam family "Bacterial small subunit ribosomal RNA", at positions 29 to 507 of the family's 1533-position model. The record is from RNAcentral.